GCGAGAUGACCGAUUUUUUUAAGUGACAACAAUGCUAGAGCAAAGACGGAUGAAGACUAUUGAUGUAGAGGGGAAGGAGUGGUGGGGAGAUAGAUGUUGUUUUGUCUUUGAGAGUGCAUAAGGAGGCACAAUAACUGCUGGAGGGAAGGAGUGGUGGGGACAUAGAUGUUGUUUUGUCUUCGAGAGUGCAUCAGGAGGCACAAUAACUAUUGGAGGGAAGAAGUGGUAGAGAUAAUAGGUAUUAGUCAUCGUUGUAUGAAUGGAAACCACGUGUCAACAUGUUCUCUAUUAUUCUGUGGCAACGCACGGGCAUUCGGCUAGU
Molecule: ribosomal RNA, 322 nt
Filed under: Triticum aestivum (bread wheat)
Lineage: Eukaryota; Viridiplantae; Streptophyta; Magnoliopsida; Poales; Poaceae
Description: partial small subunit ribosomal RNA
Source: RNAcentral